UCUUGCAUUGAAUCUCCACAUCACUAAAUCACACUAUGUCCAUUUGUUUUUGUUUUUCUGGUGAGAAGUGCUCUAGAGAGCCUGGUAAUAUCACCGAGUGUAAGUCUACUAAUAUUCUUCCAUUUAUGUUUUCUGUGCUUGCUUAUCACUGAAUGAGAUCUUAAUUUGAUGUUAUCGUGUCUGUGCUUAUUUUGCAGCUUGCAGGGCAAGGAGCGCUGACCGCAGAGUUCACUUUAAGGCAUUGUGUUUAUGAUUUAGAUGGGUUUUGUUUUCUAUGGCCUUUACUUCUUAU
RNAcentral lists this long non-coding RNA (292 nucleotides) under Populus trichocarpa (black cottonwood). Its description in RNAcentral is "long non-coding RNA (PTRI_LNC003600)". The record is from RNAcentral. Lineage: Eukaryota; Viridiplantae; Streptophyta; Magnoliopsida; Malpighiales; Salicaceae.